RNAcentral lists this ribosomal RNA (497 nucleotides) under uncultured bacterium. Its description in RNAcentral is "partial 16S ribosomal RNA". It matches the Rfam family "Bacterial small subunit ribosomal RNA", at positions 28 to 507 of the family's 1533-position model. The record is from RNAcentral.
GACGAACGCUGGCGGCGUGCCUAAUACAUGCAAGUUGAGCGCUGAAGGUUGGUACUUGUACCAACUGGAUGAGCAGCGAACGGGUGAGUAACGCGUGGGGAAUCUGCCUUUGAGCGGGGGACAACAUUUGGAAACGAAUGCUAAUACCGCAUAAAAACUUUAAACACAAGUUUUAAGUUUGAAAGAUGCAAUUGCAUCACUCAAAGAUGAUCCCGCGUUGUAUUAGCUAGUUGGUGAGGUAAAGGCUCACCAAGGCGAUGAUACAUAGCCGACCCGAGAGGGUGAUCGGCCACAUUGGGACUGAGACACGGCCCAAACUCCUACGGGAGGCAGCAGUAGGGAAUCUUCGGCGAUGGACGAAAGUCGGACCGAGCAACGCCGCGUGAGUGAAGAAGGUUUUCGGAUCGUAAAACUCUGUUGGUAGAGAAGAACGUUGGUGAGAGUGGAAAGCUCAUCAAGUGACGGUAACUACCCAGAAAGGGACGGAUAACUACGUG